CUACGGGGGGCAGCAGUCGAGAAUCAUUCGCAAUGCGCGAAAGCGUGACGAUGCGACGCUGCGUGGAGGAUGAAGGCCCUCGGGUCGUAAACUCCUGUCAGGAGGGAAAAGCCGGCACUUGGUCAAUACCCUUGUGCCCCGAUGGUACCUCCAGAGGAAGCCACGGCUAACUCUGUGCCAGCAGCCGCGGUAAUACAGAGGUGGCGAGCGUUGUUCGGAUUUACUGGGCGUAAAGGGUGCGUAGGCGGCGUGCAAAGCUGGAUGUGAAAUCUCGGGGCUCAACCCCGGAACUGCAUCCGGAACUGGCAUGCUAGAGACCAGGAGGGGAGAGUAGAAUUCUAGGUGUAGCGGUGAAAUGCGUUGAUAUCUAGAAGAAUACCGGUGGCGAAGGCGGCUCUCUGGAAUGGUUCUGACGCUGAGGCACGAAAGCGUGGGGAGCAAACAGGAUUAGAUACCCGGGUAGUC
This 465-nucleotide ribosomal RNA is filed under the name uncultured bacterium. RNAcentral describes it as "partial 16S ribosomal RNA". It matches the Rfam family "Bacterial small subunit ribosomal RNA", at positions 339 to 795 of the family's 1533-position model. The record is from RNAcentral.